This 498-nucleotide ribosomal RNA is filed under the name uncultured bacterium. RNAcentral describes it as "bacterial SSU rRNA". It matches the Rfam family "Bacterial small subunit ribosomal RNA", at positions 30 to 504 of the family's 1533-position model. The record is from RNAcentral.
CGAACGCUUGCGGCGUGCUUAACACAUGCAAGUCGAACGAGAAAGCCCCUUCGGGGGUGAGUAAAGUGGCGCACGGGUGAGUAACGCGUAGAUAAUCUACCCUAGUGUUCGGGACAACAUCGGGAAACUGGUGCUAAUACCGAAUAAUUUUAUUUUGAUGCGAAUUGAGAUAAGGAAAGGUGGGGAUCCUUCGGGACCUAUUGCACAAGGAUGAGUCUGCGUACCAUUAGCUAGUUGGUGGGGUAAUGGCCUACCAAGGCUACGAUGGUUAGCGGGUCUGAGAGGAUGAUCCGCCACACUGGCACUGGAACACGGGCCAGACUCCUACGGGAGGCAGCAGUGAGGAAUUUUGCACAAUGGGGGAAACCCUGAUGCAGCGACGCCGCGUGAGUGAUGAAGGCCUUAGGGUUGUAAAGCUCUGUCAAUGGGGAAGAAAUGUAUAAUGGUGAAUACCCAUUAUAUUUGACGGUACCCAUAAAGGAAGCACCGGCUAAAUCC